Molecule: ribosomal RNA, 548 nt
Filed under: uncultured Glomeromycotina
Lineage: Eukaryota; Fungi; Glomeromycota
Description: SSU rRNA
Rfam family: Eukaryotic small subunit ribosomal RNA
Source: RNAcentral
UUGGAGGGCAAGUCUGGUGCCAGCAGCCGCGGUAAUUCCAGCUCCAAUAGCGUAUAUUAAAGUUGUUGCAGUUAAAAAGCUCGUAGUUAAAUCUCGAGAUCAAUUUGUCGGUCGUGCCUCGGUACGUACUGGCAUUAUUGAUUUCUCCCUUCUGAAGAACCGCGAUGUCAUUAAUUUGGUGUCGUGGGGAAUCAGGACUGUUACUUUGAAAAAAUUAGAGUGUUUAAAGCAGGCGCACGCUUGAAUACAUUAGCAUGGAAUAAUGAAAUAGGACGUUUGAUUCUAUUUUGUUGGUUUCUAGGAUCGACGUAAUGAUUAAUAGGGAUAGUUGGGGGCAUUAGUAUUCAAUUGUCAGAGGUGAAAUUCUUGGAUUUAUUGAAGACUAACUACUGCGAAAGCAUUUGCCAAGGAUGUUUUCAUUAAUCAAGAACGAAAGUUAGGGGAUCGAAGACGAUCAGAUACCGUCGUAGUCUUAACCAUAAACUAUGCCGACUAGGGAUCGGAUGAUGUUAAUUUUUUAAUGACUCAUUCGGCGCCUUACGGGAAAC